Molecule: ribosomal RNA, 253 nt
Filed under: uncultured bacterium
Lineage: Bacteria
Description: partial 16S ribosomal RNA
Rfam family: Bacterial small subunit ribosomal RNA
Source: RNAcentral
UACGUAGGGGGCAAGCGUUGUCCGGAAUCAUUGGGCGUAAAGAGCGUGUAGGCGGUUCGGUAAGUCGGCUGUGAAAGUCCAGGGCUCAACCCUGGGAUGCCGGUCGAUACUGCCUGACUAGAGUUCGGAAGAGGCGAGUGGAAUUCCCGGUGUAGCGGUGAAAUGCGCAGAUAUCAGGAAGAACACCCGUGGCGAAGGCGGCUCUCUGGGACGGUACUGACGCUGAGACGCGAAAGCGUGGGGAGCGAACAGG